GGACAGUCAUCGCCGAGUCCCCCGAGGCGCGAGCCAGGGGAGCCGGGGACCCACGUCCCUGGGGUGAAUCGGGCCUCUCCUCGCGAGGCGCCCGUAGGAGACCUUCCUGCUCCGAACCCGUCAGCUAACCCGGUAGGCGAGAAGGAAGGAAAGG
RNAcentral lists this small RNA (154 nucleotides) under Streptomyces tsukubensis. Its description in RNAcentral is "c-di-AMP sequence". It matches the Rfam family "c-di-AMP riboswitch aptamer (ydaO/yuaA leader)". From Rfam's summary of the family: This family represents a conserved RNA structure found upstream of the ydaO and yuaA genes in Bacillus subtilis and related genes in other bacteria. The record is from RNAcentral. Lineage: Bacteria; Bacillati; Actinomycetota; Actinomycetes; Kitasatosporales; Streptomycetaceae.